Long non-coding RNA from Sinocyclocheilus grahami, 922 nucleotides. RefSeq lists it as uncharacterized. The record is from RefSeq and is a predicted model, not a curated record. Lineage: Eukaryota; Metazoa; Chordata; Actinopteri; Cypriniformes; Cyprinidae. The transcript has 3 exons.
AUAUACUCAAAUACCCUUUCUUAAAAACACUCUCAGAGUUGUGUGAUUAAGUUGACCGAAUGCAUUCAUCAACUGUCAGUUUAAGCCAGCGCUUCAAGGACGGCUUUACCAGUAUUGUGCCAAAGAUGCUUGAGCUUGUUCAAAGAAAUGCUCCAUUGGCCAAAGUCUACAAAGAAGCAAGAGAAGAGAUGCUUGCAGAAGAUCUACCAGUGUGAUGCUGAUACUCCAUACCCAACCAUACAGUUGGUACAAACUGACUGGAAAAUGGCUUUCUCUCUCCAAGAGGCUUCAAGUCCUUGUCAAAGUUGAUGGUUUGGAGGUGUGCAGGGGAAUAGGAGUUGAAGAAGGGAUAAUUGCAGCCUUCAGUGCUUCCUAUGUAACUUGGCUUAUCCACCCUACAUGAAGAAUACAUUGACCUUCCUGCAGCAUUCCAUGGCAAAGAUUACUGAGGUGGGUGGCAAGCCCCUUCCAAUAACUGUCACAGGAAUAAUUCAUAUCCUGUUUAAAAACGCGACAUUCAGCGUGUUUCAAAUGUGACUGUUGACAGUGUGACGUAUGCUUUAAAAGAUGUAUUCAUAGUUGACUAUAUCCAUGCAGAGGAAAUUCCUCUAUUUUUACAAAUUAAAUGCAUUUUAAAUAUCAAUACUGUAUGGUUUCUGUGUGGGAAGUUUUUAAUAGCAGUGUCGUAUGAUUCACACUUCCAUGCAUACACCGUAAAAGUUUACCUUGAGUGGAGGGUUAUAAAACCAGGGCAAGAGAUGGACUUUCAGGCCCUUGACGCGUACUCUGCUGAUGAUAAAUUGUGUGAUCCUUAAGAAGGUUUAAGAAAGUUCAAAUUAAAUGUGUAGUACUGUAUUUGGUGAAAUGUGUGUUUGUGAUUAAAUGUUUUAAGGGUAUAAAGUUACAAUUAAUGAAAUGUGUA